This is a long non-coding RNA of Myotis lucifugus (little brown bat), 1535 nucleotides long. RefSeq lists it as uncharacterized. The transcript has 3 exons. The record is from RefSeq and is a predicted model, not a curated record. NCBI's taxonomy places the organism in Eukaryota, Metazoa, Chordata, Mammalia, Chiroptera, Vespertilionidae.
AGAUGCUAUAUGCCGUGUGAUACUGUAAUAGAUUGAAUACAGAAGCAGAUAGGAGAAUCCAGUUGUCUUCUAUGAAGCCAGGCAUGAGAUUUGCAAAAGUCUUCGAUAUAGAAGAAUUGAAAACAAGCCACACAUUGACACUGAUGAAUAAUAAUAAUGAAGAAUACAUUGUGGAGAGCCGUUUUUCAGACUCAAGAGUAUUUUUCACGAGCUUAAGAUGUCACGUUUAAGGAGAGAAUGGGAGCUGACGGCUCAACCUAGCAGUUGAAGAAAUUGUCACCAUUCACUGUUCUGUUUACCAUUUACAUAAGAACUCACAAGCUGCUAGCACCGGCUGAUGACAGAGCCGGGCAGACUGGAGGAGAGCUUGCCCUUAAAUGAAAACGGAGCUGCAUUUGAUUUAUCACCCUCAGCUGUCACUCCUCACCUCCACCGAACCUUUCCCAAGACCACAAUAAAUGUCACUUCAAAGGUUCAGAGCUGGGUUUCAACUGUGAAGAAUGUAUUCAUCCCACAACAGUCUCCCUCCAACAAAACAGCAUCUGUAGUCCGUGUUGGGAGCGGGGAGAGCACAUGGAAAAAGUUCCUUGAAUUUUACGUAAUAAAGAAAGCAUUAGGCUAAUCACGAGGUUAACUUUAUCCAUCUCCCACAAAUCCCCGGGUGGGUUCUCUGAGGCUACAGGCACGUUAUUGGUGCUGAGGUGUGUCUUGGGAUCCACUAAUGCCCCGAUGCUUCUAGUUACUUUGAAGACAACAAAUUCUUGUCUUGUUGGAGGAAAUUGGGACUUGGGGGCUGGAAAAGAGAACGUGUAGUGGAGAAGGCGUGGGAAGUUACUCUCAUAUAGUUGAGGGCUUCUUGGAAGAGAGAUUAGACUCAUUCUGCAUAGUCAAGAAGGGCAGGAUAGGAACACAUUUUUAGCUCGAAAUAAAGAAGAUGCUUUCCAUGAGACUGUGGCAUCGUUAAUAAGACACAGACCUCAGGUUGCGUUCUCCUAAGGAAAUAUUGAUCAGGUACCUACUUUGGGUCAAGCAUUGUCACUCACAUGAUUUCAAUUACAUUUCACAACAUUCCUGUAAGGUAGCUGUUAUUACCUUGUUUCAAAUGUGGCACCCUCCUGCUCCAAGGCCACCAUGACAGCCAUUGGGGCGAGGAAAACAUCUGUCCGGUGCCGGCAACCUGCUGAGCGCUCCGCCUGCCUGAGCAGGCUUUCUGUCCCAGACAGGAAAUCAAACGUAAAUGUCACUUGCUUUCUGUGUUGGAUUGGAAAAGAGACAACUUGCGUGUCCUGGACAGCAGAACUUGAAUUUAACACGAGAGAAAGGCAUUAAAACAACCUGUACAAGAUUGCAAAAGGUUUUUAUUGAAACCAGAACGUCUCAUCUCACCAAUAACGUGUGCCUCAGCAGAGUGCAAAUUCUCUUAUCCAUGUGCGCUUAAAAGUUGUUUCUGGCCUGUACAAUCUGCAUGUCCAAAAUCAGUCUUUUUCACUAAGAUAUGUCUUGCUGUGUUUAUAAAAGAGUAUGUUCAGAAUGCA